CCCUUAGAUGUUCUGGGCUGCACGCGCGCUACACUGAAGCGUUCAACGAGUAUUCACCUUGCCCGGGAGGGUUGGGUAAUCUUUUGAAAACGCUUCGUGAUGGGGAUAGAUUAUUGCAAUUAUUAAUCUUCAACGAGGAAUUCCUAGUAAGCGCGAGUCAUCAGCUCGUGCUGAUUACGUCCCUGCCCUUUGUACACACCGCCCGUCGCUCCUACCGAUUGGGUGAUCCGGUGAAUAAUUCGGACUGCAGCACUGCUUGGUCUCCAGGCUUUGCAGCGGAAAGUUUAGUGAACCUUAUCACUUAGAGGAAGGAGAAGUCGUANCA
This 325-nucleotide ribosomal RNA is filed under the name uncultured eukaryote. RNAcentral describes it as "partial 18S ribosomal RNA". It matches the Rfam family "Eukaryotic small subunit ribosomal RNA", at positions 1470 to 1796 of the family's 1831-position model. The record is from RNAcentral.